UACGGAGGGGGCAAGCGUUGUUCGGAAUUACUGGGCGUAAAGGGCGCGUAGGCGGAUCGUUAUGUCAGGGGUGAAAGCCCUGGGCUCAACCCAGGAGUUGCCUUUGAGACGGACGGUCUUGAGUGCGGGAGAGGAUGGUGGAAUUCCCAGUGUAGAGGUGAAAUUCGUAGAUAUUGGGAAGAACACCGGAGGCGAAGGCGGCCAUCUGGACCGCAACUGACGCUGAGGCGCGAAAGCGUGGGGAGCAAACAGG
RNAcentral lists this ribosomal RNA (253 nucleotides) under uncultured bacterium. RNAcentral's name for it is "partial 16S ribosomal RNA". It matches the Rfam family "Bacterial small subunit ribosomal RNA", at positions 524 to 776 of the family's 1533-position model. The record is from RNAcentral.